This is a non-coding RNA of Podarcis lilfordi (Lilford's wall lizard), 70 nucleotides long. NCBI's taxonomy places the organism in Eukaryota, Metazoa, Chordata, Lepidosauria, Squamata, Lacertidae. The record is from the annotation of a GenBank genome assembly.
GGCCAUAGCUCAGUGGUAGAGCAUCUGCUUUGCACACAGAAGGUCCCAAGUUCAAUCCCUGACAUCUCCA